AAGUCGUAACAAGGUUUCCGUAGGUGAACCUGCGGAAGGAUCAUUAUUAAAUAUGAAACUGGCGUUUGCAUUGACGCAACGUGGCCAGUCUAAAUAAACGCAUAAACAGGAUCCGGUGUUGGCAUGCUACCUUGCGAGUCACGUGGUUCACACACCUGGAACGGUUGUAGUGCGUCCUUAAAGCAGACCGCAUGCCAGAUCGGUUGGAGAAGACCUGCGAAUAUUCUGCCUCUAUAAAAUGGGGAAUGAUAAUAGCUAGGAUCGCUGCUAUGUACACAUCACACAUUAAUGUCUGAAUCUUUUUGUUGUUCAUCUGAACUCCAAUAUGAAUUUUUUUAAACAACUUUUAACAACGGAUCUCUAGGCUCCU
Molecule: unclassified non-coding RNA, 370 nt
Filed under: fungal sp.
Lineage: Eukaryota; Fungi
Description: partial internal transcribed spacer region
Rfam family: Eukaryotic small subunit ribosomal RNA (bases 1-46)
Source: RNAcentral